UAAUACAUCGGAACGUGUCCCGUAGUGGGGGAUAGCCCGGCGAAAGCCGGAUUAAUACCGCAUAUGCUCUACGGAGGAAAGUGGGGGAUCGCAAGGCCUCACGCUAUGGGAGCGGCCGAUGUCCGAUUAGCUAGUUGGUAGGGUAAUGGCCUACCAAGGCGACGAUCGGUAGCUGGUCUGAGAGGAUGAUCAGCCACACUGGGACUGAGACACGGCCCAG
This 220-nucleotide ribosomal RNA is filed under the name uncultured bacterium. RNAcentral's name for it is "partial 16S ribosomal RNA". It matches the Rfam family "Bacterial small subunit ribosomal RNA", at positions 111 to 334 of the family's 1533-position model. The record is from RNAcentral.